GAGUNUAUCCUGGCUCAGAUUGAACGCUGGCGGCAUGCUUUACACAUGCAAGUCGAACGGCAGCGCGGGGCAACCUGGCGGCGAGUGGCGAACGGGUGAGUAAUACAUCGGAACGUACCCAGAAGUGGGGGAUAACGUAGCGAAAGUUACGCUAAUACCGCAUACGAUCUACGGAUGAAAGUGGGGGACCUUCGGGCCUCAUGCUUUUGGAGCGGCCGAUGUCUGAUUAGCUAGUUGGUAGGGUAAAGGCCUACCAAGGCGACGAUCAGUAGCUGGUCUGAGAGGACGACCAGCCACACUGGGACUGAGACACGGCCCAGACUCCUACGGGAGGCAGCAGUGGGGAAUUUUGGACAAUGGGCGCAAGCCUGAUCCAGCAAUGCCGCGUGAGUGAAGAAGGCCUUCGGGUUGUAAAGCUCUUUUGUCAGGGAAGAAACGGCUGAGGCUAAUAUCCUCGGCUAAUGACGGUACCUGAAGAAUAAGCACCGGCUAACUACGUGCCAGCAGCCGCGGUAAUACGUAGGGUGCAAGCGUUAAUCGGAAUUACUGGGCGUAAAGCGUGCGCAGGCGGUUUUGUAAGUCUGACGUGAAAGCCCCGGGCUCAACCUGGGAAUUGCGUUGGAGACUGCAAGGCUUGAAUCUGGCAGAGGGGGGUAGAAUUCCACGUGUAGCAGUGAAAUGCGUANAGAUGUGGAGGAACACCGANGGCGAAGGCAGNNNCCUGGNCCAAGA
RNAcentral lists this ribosomal RNA (732 nucleotides) under Massilia aerilata. RNAcentral describes it as "bacterial SSU rRNA". It matches the Rfam family "Bacterial small subunit ribosomal RNA", at positions 9 to 739 of the family's 1533-position model. The record is from RNAcentral. Lineage: Bacteria; Pseudomonadati; Pseudomonadota; Betaproteobacteria; Burkholderiales; Oxalobacteraceae. RNAcentral also lists the same sequence under 1 other name.